UACGGAGGGUGCAAGCGUUGUUCGGAAUUACUGGGCGUAAAGGGCGCGUAGGUGGUUUUGUAAGUCAGAUGUGAAAUCCUUCGGCUCAACCGGAGAACUGCAUCUGAUACUGCAGAACUCGAGUACAGGAGAGGGAAACGGAAUUCCAGGUGUAGAGGUGAAAUUCGUAGAUAUCUGGAGGAACACCGGUGGCGAAGGCGGUUUCCUGGCCUGAUACUGACACUGAGGCGCGAAAGCGUGGGGAG
RNAcentral lists this ribosomal RNA (245 nucleotides) under uncultured bacterium. RNAcentral describes it as "partial 16S ribosomal RNA". It matches the Rfam family "Bacterial small subunit ribosomal RNA", at positions 524 to 768 of the family's 1533-position model. The record is from RNAcentral.